This 423-nucleotide ribosomal RNA is filed under the name uncultured bacterium. Its description in RNAcentral is "bacterial SSU rRNA". It matches the Rfam family "Bacterial small subunit ribosomal RNA", at positions 355 to 774 of the family's 1533-position model. The record is from RNAcentral.
UGAGGAAUAUUGGUCAAUGGGCGCGAGCCUGAACCAGCCAAGUAGCGUGAAGGAUGAAGGUCCUAUGGAUUGUAAACUUCUUUUAUAGCAGAAUAAGGUGACCCACGUGUGGGUUUUUGUAUGUAUGCUAUGAAUAAGGAUCGGCUAACUCCGUGCCAGCAGCCGCGGUAAUACGGAGGAUCCGAGCGUUAUCCGGAUUUAUUGGGUUUAAAGGGUGCGUAGGCGGAAAGAUAAGUCAGCCUGUGAAAGUUUGCGGCUCAACCGUAAAAUUGCAGUUGAUACUGUUUUUCUUGAGUGUACAUAAGGUAGGCGGAAUUCGUGGUGUAGCGGUGAAAUGCUUAGAUAUCACGAAGAACUCCGAUUGCGAAGGGAGCUUACCGGGGUACAACUGACGCUGAUGCACGAAAGUGUGGGUAUCAAACA